RNAcentral lists this transfer RNA (72 nucleotides) under Dario dayingensis. RNAcentral's name for it is "tRNA-Asp". It matches the Rfam family "tRNA". From Rfam's summary of the family: Transfer RNA (tRNA) molecules are approximately 80 nucleotides in length. Their secondary structure includes four short double-helical elements and three loops (D, anti-codon, and T loops). The record is from RNAcentral. Lineage: Eukaryota; Metazoa; Chordata; Actinopteri; Anabantiformes; Badidae.
AAGGUGCUAGUAAAAUGUUAAUAACACUGCCUUGUCAAGGCAGAGUUGUGAGUUAAACCCUCGCGUAUCUUG